AGACGUCUACAUUAGAUACCCGCGUAGUCCCAGCCGUAAACUAUGCGCGUUAGGUGUAUCGGUGACCACGAGUUACCGAGGUGCCGAAGGGAAACCGUGAAACGUGCCGCCUGGGAGGUACGGUCGCAAGGCUGAAACUUAAAGGAAUUGGCGGGGAGCACCACAACGGGUGGAGCCUGCGGUUUAAUUGGACUCAACGCCGGGAAGCUCACCGGAUAGGACAGCAGAAUGAUUGCCGGGCUGAAGACCCUGCAUGACUAGCUG
This 264-nucleotide ribosomal RNA is filed under the name uncultured archaeon. Its description in RNAcentral is "partial 16S ribosomal RNA". It matches the Rfam family "Archaeal small subunit ribosomal RNA", at positions 717 to 982 of the family's 1478-position model. The record is from RNAcentral.